CAGUAGCCGCGGGAAUACGAAGGGGGCUAGCGUUGUUCGGAAUUACUGGGCGUAAAGCGCACGUAGGCGGAUAUUUAAGUCAGGGGUGAAAUCCCGCGGCUCAACUGCGGAACUGCCUUUGAUACUGGGUAUCUUGAGUAUGGAAGAGGUUAGUGGAAUUGCGAGUGUAGAGGUGAAAUUCGUAGAUAUUCGCAGGAACACCAGUGGCGUAGGCGGCUAACUGGUCCAUAACUGACGCUGAGGUGCGAAAGCGUGGGGAGCAAACAGGAUUAGAUACCCCGGUAGUCCCUGUCUCUUAUAC
This 301-nucleotide ribosomal RNA is filed under the name uncultured bacterium. RNAcentral describes it as "partial 16S ribosomal RNA". It matches the Rfam family "Bacterial small subunit ribosomal RNA", at positions 509 to 807 of the family's 1533-position model. The record is from RNAcentral.